RNAcentral lists this ribosomal RNA (253 nucleotides) under uncultured bacterium. RNAcentral's name for it is "partial 16S ribosomal RNA". It matches the Rfam family "Bacterial small subunit ribosomal RNA", at positions 524 to 776 of the family's 1533-position model. The record is from RNAcentral.
UACGGAGGGUCCGAGCGUUAUCCGGAAUCAUUGGGUUUAAAGGGUCCGUAGGCGGGCAAUUAAGUCAGUGGUGAAAGUCUGCAGCUCAACUGUAGAAUUGCCAUUGAUACUGGUUGUCUUGAAUCGUUGUGAAGUGGCUAGAAUAUGUGGUGUAGCGGUGAAAUGCUUAGAUAUCACAUAGAAUACCGAUUGCGAAGGCAGGUCACUAACAACGUAUUGACGCUGAUGGACGAAAGCGUGGGGAGCGAACAGG